UACGUAGGGUGCAAGCGUUAAUCGGAAUUACUGGGCGUAAAGCGUGCGCAGGCGGUUCUAUAAGGCAGAUGUGAAAUCCCCGGGCUCAACCUGGGAAUGGCAGUGGAUACUGGAAAGCUAGAGUGCGGUAGAGGGUAGUGGAAUUCCCGGUGUAGCAGUGAAAUGCGUAGAGAUCGGGAGGAACACCAGUGGCGAAGGCGGCUACCUGGACCAGCACUGACACUGAGGCACGAAAGCGUGGGGAGCAAACAGG
Molecule: ribosomal RNA, 253 nt
Filed under: uncultured bacterium
Lineage: Bacteria
Description: partial 16S ribosomal RNA
Rfam family: Bacterial small subunit ribosomal RNA
Source: RNAcentral